This 467-nucleotide ribosomal RNA is filed under the name uncultured bacterium. RNAcentral describes it as "partial 16S ribosomal RNA". It matches the Rfam family "Bacterial small subunit ribosomal RNA", at positions 28 to 507 of the family's 1533-position model. The record is from RNAcentral.
GAUGAACGCUGGCGGCGCGCCUAACACAUGCAAGUCGAACGAUUAAAGCACCUUCGGGUGUGUAUAAAGUGGCGAACGGCUGAGUAACACGUGGGCAACCUGCCCCUUUCAUUGGGAUAGCCACGGGAAACCGUGGAUAAUACCGAAUACUUCGAGACUUCCGCAUGGAAGACUCGAGAAAGCUCCGGCGGAGAGGGAUGGGCCCGCGGCCUGUUAGCUUGUUGGUGGGGUAACGGCCUACCAAGGCAAUGAUGGGUAGCUGGGUUGAGAGACCGACCAGCCAGAUUGGGACUGAGACACGGCCCAGACUCCUACGGGAGGCAGCAGUGGGGAAUCUUGCACAAUGGGCGAAAGCCUGAUGCAGCGACGCCGCGUGCGGGAUGAAGGCCUUCGGGUUGUAAACCGCUUUCAGCAGGGACGAGGCGAAAGUGGCGGUACCUGCAGAAGAAGCCCCGGCUAACUACGUG